Molecule: non-coding RNA, 87 nt
Organism: Pholiota molesta
Lineage: Eukaryota; Fungi; Basidiomycota; Agaricomycetes; Agaricales; Strophariaceae
Source: the annotation of a GenBank genome assembly
UCCCUCUUAGCUCAGUGGUAGAGCGCGUCACUAGUACCUCCACCUAGGUAUAUGACGAGGUCAGUCGUUCAAGUCGGCUAGAGGGAA